This is a long non-coding RNA of Humulus lupulus (European hop), 221 nucleotides long. RefSeq lists it as uncharacterized. The transcript is spliced from 3 exons. The record is from RefSeq and is a predicted model, not a curated record. NCBI's taxonomy places the organism in Eukaryota, Viridiplantae, Streptophyta, Magnoliopsida, Rosales, Cannabaceae.
UUCUGUAUUGAAACAAGUAACAAGGCUGUUAUUUUAAAGGUGCACAAGGACUAUGUGCCUAUCCUUAUGGAGUGCCUCAAUGAUGGGACUCCAGAUGUGAGGGAUGCAGCCUUUUCAGCUUUGGCAGCGAUAGCUAAGUUGGUUGGUAUGAGACCCUUGGAGCGGUCACUUGAGAAACUUGAUGAUGUUAGAAGAAAGAAGCUUUCUGAAAUGAUUUCACU